GAUGAACGCUGGCGGCGUGCCUAAUACAUGCAAGUCGAGCGAACGGACGAGAAGCUUGCUUUUCUGAUGUUAGCGGCGGACGGGUGAGUAACACGUGGAUAACCUACCUAUAAGACUGGGAUAACUUCGGGAAACCGGAGCUAAUACCGGAUAAUAUUUUGAACCGCAUGGUUCAAAAGUGAAAGACGGUCUUGCUGUCACUUAUAGAUGGAUCCGCGCUGCAUUAGCGAGUUGGUAAGGUAACGGCUUACCAAGGCAACGAUGCAUAGCCGACCUGAGAGGGUGAUCGGCCACACUGGAACUGAGACACGGUCCAGACUCCUACGGGAGGCAGCAGUAGGGAAUCUUCCGCAAAGGGCGAAAGCCUGACGGAGCAACGCCGCGUGAGUGAUGAAGGUCUUCGGAUCGUAAAACUCUGUUAUUAGGGAAGAACAUAUGUGUAAGUAACUGUGCACAUCUUGACGGUACCUAAUCAGAAAGCCACGGCUAACUACGUG
This 497-nucleotide ribosomal RNA is filed under the name uncultured bacterium. RNAcentral describes it as "partial 16S ribosomal RNA". It matches the Rfam family "Bacterial small subunit ribosomal RNA", at positions 28 to 507 of the family's 1533-position model. The record is from RNAcentral.